UAGGGAAUCUUCGGCAAUGGACGAAAGUCUGACCGAGCAACGCCGCGUGAGUGAAGAAGGUUUUCGGAUCGUAAAACUCUGUUGUUAGAGAAGAACAAGGACGUUAGUAACUGAACGUCCCCUGACGGUAUCUAACCAGAAAGCCACGGCUAACUACGUGCCAGCAGCCGCGGUAAUACGUAGGUGGCAAGCGUUGUCCGGAUUUAUUGGGCGUAAAGCGAGCGCAGGCGGUUUCUUAAGUCUGAUGUGAAAGCCCCCGGCUCAACCGGGGAGGGUCAUUGGAAACUGGGAGACUUGAGUGCAGAAGAGGAGAGUGGAAUUCCAUGUGUAGCGGUGAAAUGCGUAGAUAUAUGGAGGAAUACCGGUGGCGAAGGCGGCCCCCUGGACGAAGACUGACGCUCAGGUGCGAAAGCGUGGGGAGCAAACAGG
Molecule: ribosomal RNA, 429 nt
Filed under: Chloroflexota bacterium
Lineage: Bacteria; Bacillati; Chloroflexota
Description: Chloroflexi bacterium partial 16S ribosomal RNA
Rfam family: Bacterial small subunit ribosomal RNA
Source: RNAcentral